AUUGAACGCUGGCGGCAGGCCUAACACAUGCAAGUCGAGCGCGCGGCGCAGGGGUGAGUAAUGUCUGGGAAACUCCCUGAGGGGGGGAGAUAAAUAGUAGAAGCGGUAUCAAAUACCGCAUACCAGCAGAUGUGCCCAGAUGGGAUUAGCUAGUGGGUGGGGUAAUGGCUCACCUAGGCGACGAUCCCUAGCUGGUCUGAGAGGAUGACCGGCCACACUGGAACUGAGACACGGCCCAGACUCCUACGGGAGGCAGCAGUGGGGAAUAUUGCACAAUGGGCGCAAGCCUGAUGCAGCCAUGCCGCGUGUGUGAAGAAGGCCUUAGGGUUGUAAAGUACUUUCAGCGAGGAGGCGUUACCGGCAGAAGAAGCACCGGCUAACUCCGUGCCAGCAGCCGCGGUAAUAC
This 406-nucleotide ribosomal RNA is filed under the name uncultured bacterium. RNAcentral describes it as "partial 16S ribosomal RNA". It matches the Rfam family "Bacterial small subunit ribosomal RNA", at positions 29 to 526 of the family's 1533-position model. The record is from RNAcentral.